RNAcentral lists this unclassified non-coding RNA (213 nucleotides) under Hevea brasiliensis (rubber tree). Lineage: Eukaryota; Viridiplantae; Streptophyta; Magnoliopsida; Malpighiales; Euphorbiaceae. The record is from RNAcentral.
GGACGAGGCCGUAUUCAUCGUCCAGAAGAAACUGUGGCUGACGAGUGAGAGUGUCAGGGAUUCAGAAUAAGACCAAAAGAGCUGUCUUCUUCACAAUUCCCUGUUGCUGUUAAAAAUUUUCCGGUGCUCAUCGCGGCCCAGAGGGAUGAGAUCAGCAAGAAAGUCCCGAGCAGCGAUGCCAGUAAAAAACGGUUCCUUCUGUUAAUUAGCGAG